Molecule: long non-coding RNA, 201 nt
Filed under: Lathyrus oleraceus (garden pea)
Lineage: Eukaryota; Viridiplantae; Streptophyta; Magnoliopsida; Fabales; Fabaceae
Description: Pisum sativum (pea) long non-coding RNA (PSAT_LNC020989)
Source: RNAcentral
UUAAUUCAGAAAAUGGAAGAGGGAAUUAUUUGUGAAAUUUUGGGAAAGUCCCAUAUUUUUUGGAUUAAAAUUGAAAUUAUAAUGAAUUAAAUGAGAAAAUGGUAUUUAAAAUAUUAAAUGGAAAAUUAAUUAAAUCAGAAAAAAAAGAGGGUCAUCAGAUCUGAUGGCUCAAAUUGAGGUGGCAGAUCUGAUGACCAAGCG